GUGGAUAUCUUUUCACUCGAUCCGCCGCGUACGUAUGAGGCGGAUUUACUCCGCGAAAGUACGCAAGGUUAAUACAGUCUCGGCGUUGUUGCGCGGAUUGAUGCCGAGUGCCACGGCGAUACGCCGCGUUAACACACGAUUCGGCCGCCGUGUACUAAUAAUCUGGCCGUGGCGUAGCCGCGGAUUAUGUUUGUGCCGCGUUGGCUGUACUGUAGCACCAUCAAUUAUUUUUCUUUACUGUUUCAGUACGGGACAAAUUCAAAAGCUCCCAGAAAACAGGAGGUGGGCCUGCCAAGCCUUUAAAAGCCUCUGAAGAAUUAAUUCUUCAAUUUUUAAUAGACAGGCCCCAAUUAGAUGGGAUUAUUGGAGGUCUCGAUACUUCAGGGGAAUCAUCAUCAGUGGUGCCAUCAUUGAAGACAUAUGAAGACACUGAAAAUGUCAUUCCAGUGGGUGAAUAUUCAGUCGAGAUGAAAAGUUCCAUUUCGAAUCAAGCUAUAAGGACCGUAUCAGAUCCCCCGACAUCAACAUCUUCUGUUGUCCAGUCAAAGGUGUCUGCUGAUGUGAGCUCUAAAAUGAAGGAAAGGAACAAAAAUGUACAUCGAUGAUGAAGUUACAAUCUGGACAAGAUCUGACAGACGCAAUUAAGUGAAUCGACAUUGUGACGGUUGUUUUAUCGAAAUUAUUUUAUUAACGGUAUAUGGUGAUUAAAAUGUAUUUAACAAA
Dreissena polymorpha is the source of this 723-nucleotide long non-coding RNA. RefSeq lists it as uncharacterized. The transcript has 5 exons. Lineage: Eukaryota; Metazoa; Mollusca; Bivalvia; Myida; Dreissenidae. The record is from RefSeq and is a predicted model, not a curated record.